AAGUCGUAACAAGGUAACCGUAGGUGAACCUGCGGUUGGAUCAUUACAGAAAAUGUUUUUAACAAACAUACACAUUGUGCACUGUUUUUGUCUCUGGCGGCGGGGCAGCUAUGACUUCACACCCAUAGUUGUCUGUCAGUCUUGGUGUAACAGCCAUGGCCGUGGACAAACCGCCAAUGUCAAACCACUUAUAUUUUUUUAAACGUCUAAUAUUGAAGUUAUUCGUAUAUAAUUAUACAAACAACUUUUGGCAACGGAUCUCUUGGCUCUC
Molecule: unclassified non-coding RNA, 271 nt
Filed under: Spizellomyces sp.
Lineage: Eukaryota; Fungi; Chytridiomycota; Chytridiomycetes; Spizellomycetales; Spizellomycetaceae
Description: partial internal transcribed spacer region
Rfam family: Eukaryotic small subunit ribosomal RNA (bases 1-46)
Source: RNAcentral